RNAcentral lists this ribosomal RNA (956 nucleotides) under uncultured bacterium. RNAcentral describes it as "bacterial SSU rRNA". It matches the Rfam family "Bacterial small subunit ribosomal RNA", at positions 56 to 1020 of the family's 1533-position model. The record is from RNAcentral.
UGCAAGUCGAACGCUGAAGCCUGGUGCUUGCACCGGGUGGAUGAGUGGCGAACGGGUGAGUAACACGUGAGUAACCUGCCCCUGACUUCGGGAUAAGCCCGGGAAACUGGGUCUAAUACCGGAUACGACUGCCGGACGCAUGUCUGGUGGUGGAAAGUUUUUUCGGUUGGGGAUGGGCUCGCGGCCUAUCAGUUUGUUGGUGAGGUAAUGGCUCACCAAGACGACGACGGGUAGCCGGCCUGAGAGGGCGACCGGCCACACUGGGACUGAGACACGGCCCAGACUCCUACGGGAGGCAGCAGUGGGGAAUAUUGCACAAUGGGGGAAACCCUGAUGCAGCGACGCAGCGUGCGGGAUGACGGCCUUCGGGUUGUAAACCGCUUUCAGCAGGGAAGAAGCGCAAGUGACGGUACCUGCAGAAGAAGUACCGGCUAACUACGAGCCAGCAGCCGCGGUAAUACGUAGGGUACGAGCGUUGUCCGGAAUUAUUGGGCGUAAAGAGCUCGUAGGUGGUUGGUCACGUCUGCUGUGGAAACGCAACGCUUAACGUUGCGCGUGCAGUGGGUACGGGCUGACUAGAGUGCAGUAGGGGAGUCUGGAAUUCCUGGUGUAGCGGUGAAAUGCGCAGAUAUCAGGAGGAACACCGGUGGCGAAGGCGGGACUCUGGGCUGUAACUGACACUGAGGAGCGAAAGCAUGGGGAGCGAACAGGAUUAGAUACCCUGGUAGUCCAUGCCGUAAACGUUGGGCACUAGGUGUGGGGGGCAUUCCACGUUCUCCGCGCCGUAGCUAACGCAUUAAGUGCCCCGCCUGGGGAGUACGGUCGCAAGGCUAAAACUCAAAGGAAUUGACAGGGGCCCGCACAAGCGGCGGAGCAUGCGGAUUAAUUCGAUGCAACGCGAGAACCUUACCAAGGCUUGACAUACACCGGACCGUCCUGAACAGGUCUUCUUCUUG